GGUUGAUCUCCUGAAGCAAAAUGUUAACUUCAGUAAUUGCAGCAAAAACAUCCUGGAAUGGCUGACUGAAGUAAUUACAGACCACAAGCUGAAAGGACAGGAAGAAGACUGUCUAAAGGAAACUGGACCAGAGAAGAUGGUGCAUUGAAGACCUCUAGGGCCUAGAAAUG
This 170-nucleotide long non-coding RNA is filed under the name Chinchilla lanigera (long-tailed chinchilla). Its description in RNAcentral is "lncRNA (ENSCLAG00000026088.1)". The record is from RNAcentral. Lineage: Eukaryota; Metazoa; Chordata; Mammalia; Rodentia; Chinchillidae.